This 1039-nucleotide long non-coding RNA is filed under the name Ailuropoda melanoleuca (giant panda). RNAcentral describes it as "lncRNA (ENSAMEG00000026177.1)". The record is from RNAcentral. Lineage: Eukaryota; Metazoa; Chordata; Mammalia; Carnivora; Ursidae.
UUUUUCAAAGAUGUCACUGGUCUGUGGUUGCCAUGGCAACACCUGCCAGCUUCUCUGAAGUCAGCUCUCAGCUCCCUCCAGUGGCCUUGGCAGCCUCCCUGCCACGCGCCCCUCCUGCCUGGCCCUCCCCCUGCCCAUCUCAGUGCCCCACCUCUGCCUGCCCUCCCAGGUCCCGGGGCCCAGCGUCCCCUUCCUCCUGUUCAUCCAGGCGGGGCGGGCCGAGUGGAGGAGCACUUCAGGGCCACCCGGCACACCGGCGGCUGGGCCCCACUCCCCUGGAUAGACAUAAAUCAGCAGACAAUGCAGCCAGUGACAAGACAAACUCUUCCAACAUCGACAGCAAUGCUCGGAAAUGCCCUGACCCAGAAGAGAAGUCUGGUCCAGCCCCCCACAAGGGCAGGCUGUGGACCAGAUUGGGGAGAACUCUCAGUGUGGAGUAAGCCCAGGGGCUGGACGUCAAGCCGUGGAAAGAACAGAGAGUGAGUCGGGCCAGCUGCCGAUGAGCCAGAGUGUCUAGUGUUAAGUUCCCCCAGAAGAAGACCCUAAGACAAGGAUUCGAGGGCGUAUAAUUUAUUGGGGAGGUGGUCCCUGAAAACACAGGACGUGUGUAGGGGAAGUGGGGUGGGGAAGAGAGGGCAGCUAAUAAAAGAUAUGUUCUCAAGCAUGUUACAAUGGUGGGCAACUGGGGCUCAGUCUCACUGGGACUUCGUCAGGGCUCUCCCUGCUGAGGGGUGAGAGCGCUGGGAUGGGAAUGCCCGACAGUCAGUGUUGGAGAGCUGCUCUCGCAGUGAAAUUCCUCAGCACUUCUGGCUUGCGUCCCUGCCUGGGCAGGGUGUGCGCCUGUGGCCAGAGAAGGCCCUCAAGCCAAAGAUGCAGGGGGAGGCGGCAGGAGCAGGUGUGAACUGAAAUGGCGGGGUCAAGGGGGAAAUAAGCAGGACCCAGUAUGACUACAAUCCCCACAAGAGUCAUCUUAGAGGACACUUGAGGCCCAUGGACUAAUGAGUUUUGAUUUCUGACCCUAACAAGAAGAAUGGAUGGG